Molecule: ribosomal RNA, 530 nt
Filed under: Bacillus licheniformis
Lineage: Bacteria; Bacillati; Bacillota; Bacilli; Caryophanales; Bacillaceae
Description: bacterial SSU rRNA
Rfam family: Bacterial small subunit ribosomal RNA
Source: RNAcentral
GGUUUAAUUCGAAGCAACGCGAAGAACCUUACCAGGUCUUGACAUCCUCUGACAACCCUAGAGAUAGGGCUUCCCCUUCGGGGGCAGAGUGACAGGUGGUGCAUGGUUGUCGUCAGCUCGUGUCGUGAGAUGUUGGGUUAAGUCCCGCAACGAGCGCAACCCUUGAUCUUAGUUGCCAGCAUUCAGUUGGGCACUCUAAGGUGACUGCCGGUGACAAACCGGAGGAAGGUGGGGAUGACGUCAAAUCAUCAUGCCCCUUAUGACCUGGGCUACACACGUGCUACAAUGGGCAGAACAAAGGGCAGCGAAGCCGCGAGGCUAAGCCAAUCCCACAAAUCUGUUCUCAGUUCGGAUCGCAGUCUGCAACUCGACUGCGUGAAGCUGGAAUCGCUAGUAAUCGCGGAUCAGCAUGCCGCGGUGAAUACGUUCCCGGGCCUUGUACACACCGCCCGUCACACCACGAGAGUUUGUAACACCCGAAGUCGGUGAGGUAACCUUUUGGAGCCAGCCGCCGAAGGUGGGACAGAUGA